UUACGACCAUAUCAGUUUGGAACAUCUGUUCUCGUACGAUCAGCGAUGUUAAGCACUGUCGAAGCUAAUCAGUACGUAGGUGAGUGAUCACUUGGGAAUAUCAAGUGCUGUA
Molecule: non-coding RNA, 112 nt
Organism: Acanthosepion pharaonis
Lineage: Eukaryota; Metazoa; Mollusca; Cephalopoda; Sepiida; Sepiidae
Source: the annotation of a GenBank genome assembly